Molecule: long non-coding RNA, 1337 nt
Filed under: Homo sapiens (human)
Lineage: Eukaryota; Metazoa; Chordata; Mammalia; Primates; Hominidae
Description: HSALNT0380143
Rfam family: Small nucleolar RNA SNORD116 (bases 1-90)
Source: RNAcentral
ACCAAUGAUGACUUCCAUACAUGCAUUCCUUGGAAAGCUGAACAAAAUGAGUGGGAACUCUGUACUAUCAUCUUAGUUGAACUGAGGUCCACCGGGGGCUAUAGAGGGACAACUGUCAUUUUUUUUGAUGCCCGUUGCAUGAAGCAUUCUUCCAGGCUUAGGAAGGGAUUCCGUUUGGGUGAAGGAGAGUCACAGGGGAGUUGAGGCUAUGUGCACAGGACUUCUGUCUACAAGGCUGGGGUAGCACACAUGCAGUCCGUGGGACUAGGUGAAUGUGCAGGUUGCUCAGGGAGAGUUAACCUGUAGCCUGCCUCUGGGUGGCCAAGAUUGUCCUUGACUCCUGGCUCUGGGUUCCCACAACCCCUGGAGGAAGACAAGUAAUUGUGCUUGGGAAGAGAGAACAAGGCCAUACUUUUGCCUUUCUUUUUUUCAUUCUUAGUUUGAGAACAGUGGAGUUCCAAUCACCUGGCAUAGCUUUCAUGUUGUGUUCCAUGCAUUGUGAGUACAUGCAUAUGGCAGGAACACACAGGUUCCCACUGCAAGCUGAGCCUGAUAGGCAAGGAGUCUCUAGCUUAACCCCAGCCCAGUGUACGUCAAUGGCUUCCUCAUUAAAAUUGCAUGGCCCUGUAGCUUUUGUGAGUGACAUUAUAGGUAUCGAUGUAAGGGUGUUGAGAGGGAUGCUCAAUGUCAGUGCUCUUUAGUGUGCUGAUGCACUACUACAAGGGCACCUGAGCCCUUGUCCAUGCAUUUCUGUGUCCAAAAUCAGGUAAAGCCAGAGUUGGGUAUCAACCAGAUACACUGCAGGGGAUCAGAGGACAUGGCCUUUGUGUACUGCACAUCUGUCAGAUUUUCUCAAGCACACCCGUGUUUCCUCUUCACCUCCCACGUGGAAGUGAUGAAUUGGCCAGGACCAUGUUGGUGAGGGACAAUCAUCAUCUCAUGUUAACCUCAGAGAAGCCAGGAAGCUCCUGGACACACAUGGUGUAGGCUUCCUUGGAGGCUGUUGGAUCUCUCCUGAAUGUAGUGUUGGUGUAAAAGGCAAACCCGUGUCAUGAGGGAUGGUCAUCAUCUUGUGUGAUCCUUGGAGAUGGCAGGAAGCCCUGGACAUACAUGGUGUGGGGGCUCCUCCAGAGGCUGUUGGGAUCCUCCUGGAUGUGGUGUGGGCAUGGAAGGAAGGCCAGUGGAGACAAUGGAUGAUCUUGUUCUUAGCAGAUCACUGGAUGUGGCAGGGAGUCCUAGGACAUGUGUGGUGUGGGCUUCUUCAGGUGCUGGUGGAUCCCUCAGGAUGGUAAAUGUCCAUUUUCCAAAAUCUUCUGAUAUUCCAUCUUUGUAGGUAC